RNAcentral lists this ribosomal RNA (308 nucleotides) under uncultured bacterium. RNAcentral's name for it is "partial 16S ribosomal RNA". It matches the Rfam family "Bacterial small subunit ribosomal RNA", at positions 505 to 807 of the family's 1533-position model. The record is from RNAcentral.
GAGACAGCAGUAGCCGCGGGAAUACGUAGGGUGCAAGCGUUAAUCGGAAUUACUGGGCGUAAAGCGUGCGCAGGUGGUUAUAUAAGACAGAUGUGAAAUCCCCGGGCUCAACCUGGGAACUGCAUUUGUGACUGUAUAGCUAGAGUACGGCAGAGGGGGAUGGAAUUCCGCGUGUAGCAGUGAAAUGCGUAGAUAUGCGGAGGAACACCGAUGGCGAAGGCAAUCCCCUGGGCCUGUACUGACGCUCAUGCACGAAAGCGUGGGGAGCAAACAGGAUUAGAUACCCCGGUAGUCCCUGUCUCUUAUAC